UACAGAGGGUGCAAGCGUUGUUCGGAAUUAUUGGGCGUAAAGCGCGUGUAGGCGGCUUUGCAAGUCGGGUGUGAAAGCCCUCGGCUCAACCGAGGAAGUGCGCCCGAAACUGCAGAGCUUGAGUACCGGAGAGGAUGGCGGAAUUCCCCAAGUAGAGGUGAAAUUCGUAGAUAUCGGGAGGAACACCAGUGGCGAAGGCGGCGACCUGGGCCAAUAUUGACGCUGAGGUGCGAAAGCGUGGGGAGCAAACAGG
Molecule: ribosomal RNA, 253 nt
Filed under: uncultured bacterium
Lineage: Bacteria
Description: partial 16S ribosomal RNA
Rfam family: Bacterial small subunit ribosomal RNA
Source: RNAcentral